UUUGUUAAAAACCUGGUCUUGUACUUCUCACCAAUUGAAAUCAUCCCUAGGUAAGAAAGAAGCUCUAGAAGCCAGGAUGUGAUUUUGUGUCCUAUUGAAAGGAAGGAGGAACAGCAAGGAGGAAUGUUUGGUGAUCAGGCUUUGGAGACCCCUCCAUCCUCGUGGCUUCUACUCCUGGCAUUUUUAUUGCAAUCCCGUGGAGAUCCCUGUUUGGAGCCAGCAUCCUGCAGCUUCUGGUUGCUGCAUGCCACAGUUCAGAGGCCUCACCUUCCUCUCCAAACAUACCCACCAGUCAGAAAGUCAGAGGUGUUCUAAGGAUUGAAACUAGUGGGUGUGAUUUGUGAUGGCUUUCCACCAAAAUACUUUGUGCAGAGAGGUGAACGUGGGCUGAAGAAGAAACAGAGCACUGCAAAAAGAUGUCCGAAGCUGUUUGUACCUUGGUGUUCAGGAGCUUGUGAGGGAAGGUGAGAGCUGAUUAACCUUUUUAUUUCAUUUUUAAUAUUAAAUGCUAUCUUGUGGUGCUGCAGAUACUGUUCUGAAACAUCCAAAUUCCAGAUCUUUGUUUAAAACUUGCCUGCGUGCUUUAUCUCCUUAGCAGCUGAUGACUCUCGAUAGGUUACAGAAAUCAUCUGCUAUGAUGAUGCUCAGCCUGUGCCUCUAAUGCCUCCAGUGUGUCUCACACAACCUGGCAGUAGUGUCCUCACAUCUGCUGCUAGCGAGGCAAGCCGAGCUGAUCGCACAGGCUGCAGGGAAGAGCAAUGCCAAGCUGAGGAGUCACGCUCGCCUCCUUCUGCUUCAGCCAAGAAGGAAGAAUAACACGCUCAUUCCCUUCAGGCAGCUGGAAACAACAAGAAACCACAGAGGACCACAAAAUCAUCACAGAGCAACAUCUGCCAAGGCUAUAUGCUGCCUCUAGCAGGUCAGGACACAAGCAGAUGAAGAUAACGCUGUGUGGCAGCUUCCUGUCAGUUGUUCUGUGGUUUGCUUUCACAUGCGAGGAAUUAGAUGGAAGCCAAUGCAUGAUCAGUGCUGACAGAAGAAUAUUUUAAAAGGCAAACAAACCCACAGAGCAUCACACGGACAUGCCUCUUCUCACGCUGUUCCCACCCCUCAUACUGCUCUUUCUCUAUCAGAGAGGCGUGGGAGCCUGGGAGCGACCUUUAUGCAGAUGAGGCAGCUAUUUCCAUCAAGCAAAGCUUCGUAAUACAGAGAGAGCUUGGGAAAUGUUUUCUUAGGUUAUGAUCUUUGAGGGCCUUUAUUUCUAUUUAGAGUCUUACUUUUGAAUAUCUAAAUAUAUUCCGGAAUUUUUAUUUUUCUUUGGAGAUUUCUCAGUUUAAAAUAUGCCUUCAGCCUGGUCCUAGCAAUAAAUAGGCCAACUUAGCUCUGGUGGAGAAAAAGCACAUUUUGCAAGUCCAUACCCAUUGCAGGUAUGAGGUUGUUUCUCUUGGAGCGGUCUAUAAACCAAGUUCUGGACAAAACUUUCUAAGAGCUGGGAGAUCAUGUAUUUCUGUAGCUUACAAAACUGGCAAAGAUAAAUGUGAGGAUUAUUCAUUUCACGAAAGGAUAAACAUGGAAGUAGUAUUAACAUGUUUAACUUCUUGCAGGCAGUUUUUGCCUCCUGUAUCCAUGACUGCCUACUGAGGAAAGAAGUAGAAGGAAAUAGGGGAAGCUGACCACUGUUCUCAUAGCAGCCUUGGCACAAGCCAACAGCAAAAAAAUCAGCAUAAACACCUGUCUUCAGUCUCUGGCCCACAGCUAUGUCUGAACUAGCCCUGCAGGCUUGUGUUCAUCUGUCUGAACUAGCAGC
RNAcentral lists this long non-coding RNA (1807 nucleotides) under Meleagris gallopavo (turkey). RNAcentral's name for it is "lncRNA (ENSMGAG00000021456.1)". Lineage: Eukaryota; Metazoa; Chordata; Aves; Galliformes; Phasianidae. The record is from RNAcentral.